CCUACGGGUGGCAGCAGUGAGGAAUAUUGGUCAAUGGGCGGGAGCCUGAACCAGCCAAGUCGCGUGAGGGAAGACGGUCCUACGGAUUGUAAACCUCUUUUGCCGGGGAGCAACGGGGUCCUUGCGAGGGCCCAAUGAGAGUACCCGGAGCACAAGCAUCCGCUAACUCCGUGCCAGCAGCCGCGGUAAUACGGAGGAUGCGAGCGUUAUCCGGAUUUCCUGGGUGGACAGGGCGUGUAGGCGGGACUGCAAGUCAGAUGUGAAAAGCACGGGCACAACCUGUGGCCUGCAUUUGAAACUGUAGUUCUGGAGUACUGGAGAGGCAGGUGGAAGGCCUAGGGUAGCGGGGAAAUGCGUAGAUAUAAGGAGGAACACCAGUGGCGAAGGAGGUCUGCUGGACAGCAACUGACGCUGAGGCGCGAAAGCGUGGGGAGCAAACAGGAUUAGAUACCCCUGUAGUC
This 461-nucleotide ribosomal RNA is filed under the name uncultured bacterium. Its description in RNAcentral is "partial 16S ribosomal RNA". It matches the Rfam family "Bacterial small subunit ribosomal RNA", at positions 338 to 795 of the family's 1533-position model. The record is from RNAcentral.